Molecule: non-coding RNA, 72 nt
Organism: Podarcis lilfordi (Lilford's wall lizard)
Lineage: Eukaryota; Metazoa; Chordata; Lepidosauria; Squamata; Lacertidae
Source: the annotation of a GenBank genome assembly
AGGGCUGUGGCUCAGAGGUAGAGCAUACGCUUUGAAUGCCAAAGGCCCCAAUUUCUAUCCUUGGCACCCCCC